RNAcentral lists this ribosomal RNA (296 nucleotides) under uncultured bacterium. RNAcentral's name for it is "partial 16S ribosomal RNA". It matches the Rfam family "Bacterial small subunit ribosomal RNA", at positions 475 to 776 of the family's 1533-position model. The record is from RNAcentral.
CUAUGCGCCUUGCCAGCCCGCUCAGGUGUGCCAGCCGCCGCGGUAAUACGGAGGAUGCGAGCGUUAUCCGGAUUUAUGGUUUAAAGGGUGCGUAGGCGGUCCGUUAAGUCAGCGGUAAAAUUGCGGGGCUCAACCCCGUCGAGCCGUUGAAACUGGCAGACUUGAGUUGGCGAGAAGUACGCGGAAUGCGCGGUGUAGCGGUGAAAUGCAUAGAUAUCGCGCAGAACUCCGAUUGCGAAGGCAGCGUACCGGCGCCACACUGACGCUGAGGCACGAAAGCGUGGGGAUCGAACAGG